AUGAUAGUGGCAAGAAGGAAAAAUUCAUGCAAGAUAAGGCACAAUUGCACAAGACAUGUCCUACAUAAAGGUGGCCAUUUCCACUACGAAGCACAAAACCAUACACAUCUAAGCCUCAAAAAGAUACAUCAUUCACCCUCGAGUCAGACAAUGGCUCUUGUUGAUGACGAGCUCAAGGCCAAGGCCGAGGUGUACUACGACGAUGAGAUUUGCAAGCAGUGCACCAGGCUCCUGCUCAAGGAAGCAGGCCUCCCCAACGGCCUGCUUCCCCUGAAGGACAUCGUGGAGUGCGGCUAUGUCGAGGAGACUGGGUAUGUGUGGCUCAAACAAAAGAAGAGGAUAGACCACGUCUUCCAGAGCCUGGGAAGGGUGGUGUCUUAUGGCACUGAGAUCACUGCCUUCGCAGAGAAGGGCAGGAUCAGGAAGGUCAAAGGGAUAAAGACCAGGGAGCUCAUGGUGUGGCUCCCUGUGGAGGAGAUCUCCCUCGACGAACCAGCGACCGGUAAGCUCAUCUGCAAGAGCAUUGCCGGCUUUUCUAAGAUCUUCCCUGCAUCAGCUUUCCACAUCCCAGAGAAGGAGAAUGAGAAGGCCAACUGCGCCGGACCAAAACCAGUGGUCCUCAUGGAGAGGGCAGCACGGGUUGUUAAGAACAACUGA
This 657-nucleotide ribosomal RNA is filed under the name Triticum aestivum (bread wheat). RNAcentral's name for it is "partial small subunit ribosomal RNA". Lineage: Eukaryota; Viridiplantae; Streptophyta; Magnoliopsida; Poales; Poaceae. The record is from RNAcentral.